This 497-nucleotide ribosomal RNA is filed under the name uncultured bacterium. RNAcentral's name for it is "partial 16S ribosomal RNA". It matches the Rfam family "Bacterial small subunit ribosomal RNA", at positions 28 to 507 of the family's 1533-position model. The record is from RNAcentral.
GAUGAACGCUGGCGGCGUGCCUAAUACAUGCAAGUCGAGCGAACAGACGAGGAGCUUGCUCCUCUGACGUUAGCGGCGGACGGGUGAGUAACACGUGGAUAACCUACCUAUAAGACUGGGAUAACUUCGGGAAACCGGAGCUAAUACCGGAUAAUAUAUUGAACCGCAUGGUUCAAUAGUGAAAGACGGUUUUGCUGUCACUUAUAGAUGGAUCCGCGCCGCAUUAGCUAGUUGGUAAGGUAACGGCUUACCAAGGCAACGAUGCGUAGCCGACCUGAGAGGGUGAUCGGCCCCACUGGAACUGAGACACGGUCCAGACUCCUACGGGAGGCAGCAGUAGGGAAUCUUCCGCAAUGGGCGAAAGCCUGACGGAGCAACGCCGCGUGAGUGAUGAAGGUCUUCGGAUCGUAAAACGCUGUUAUUAGGGAAGAACAAAUGUGUAAGUAACUAUGCACGUCUUGACGGUACCUAAUCAGAAAGCCACGGCUAACUACGUG